Molecule: ribosomal RNA, 401 nt
Filed under: Zonitis immaculata
Lineage: Eukaryota; Metazoa; Arthropoda; Insecta; Coleoptera; Meloidae
Description: partial large subunit ribosomal RNA
Source: RNAcentral
AGUUUUUUAAUUGAAAGCUGGAAUGAAUGGCUGAAUAAGGAAAUAACUGUCUCUUUUUAAUUAAGUUGAACUUUAUUUUUAAGUUAAAAAGCUUAAAUUUAAUAGAAAGACGAGAAGACCCUAUAGAGUUUGAUAGAUUAAUAUUUUUAUAGUUUAGGGUUUUAUUAUAUAGAAAUAUUCAUUUAUUUUGUUGGGGUGACAAUAGAAUUUAAUUAACUUCUGGUUUUUAAUCAUUGAUUUAUGAAUAUAUGAUCCUAAUAUUUAGAUUAGAAGAAUAAAUUACCUUAGGGAUAACAGCGUAAUUUUUUUGGAGAGUUCUUAUCGAUAAAAGAGAUUGCGACCUCGAUGUUGGAUUAAAGUUUAAUUUUGGUGUAGAAGCUAAAAUAUUAAGACUGUUCGAC